UACGGGGGGGGCAAGCGUUGUUCGGAAUUACUGGGCGUAAAGGGCUCGUAGGCGGCCAACUAAGUCAGACGUGAAAUCCCUCGGCUUAACCGGGGAACUGCGUCUGAUACUGGAUGGCUUGAGUGUGGGAGAGGGAUGCGGAAUUCCAGGUGUAGCGGUGAAAUGCGUAGAUAUCUGGAGGAACACCGGUGGCGAAGGCGGGUCUCUGGGCCGUAACUGACGCUGAGGAGCGAAAGCUAGGGGAGCAAACGGG
This 253-nucleotide ribosomal RNA is filed under the name uncultured bacterium. RNAcentral's name for it is "partial 16S ribosomal RNA". It matches the Rfam family "Bacterial small subunit ribosomal RNA", at positions 524 to 776 of the family's 1533-position model. The record is from RNAcentral.